AUUGUUUUGUCAGAAAAGAAUGAAUUAAGUUUAGAAUUUAAAUAUGUAUAUAUAUAUAUAUAAACAAUA
RNAcentral lists this transfer RNA (69 nucleotides) under Prosevania sp. ZJUH_2016031. Its description in RNAcentral is "tRNA-Leu". Lineage: Eukaryota; Metazoa; Arthropoda; Insecta; Hymenoptera; Evaniidae. The record is from RNAcentral.